AUCUACCAUUUAGUGGGGAAUAACUGUUGGAAACGACAGCUAAUACCGCAUAAUAUUGCUGGAUAAUUCCCAGUAAUGAAAGGAGCUUUCAAGCUCCGCUGAUUGAUGAGGAUGCGGCGCAUUAGCUAGUUGGUAGGGUAAUGGCCUACCAAGGCAAUGAUGCGUAGCCGAUCUGAGAGGAUGAACGGCCACAUUGGGACUGAGACACGGCCCAAACUUCUACGGAAGGCAGCAGUAGGGAAUUUUUCACAAUGGGCGAAAGCCUGAUGGAGCAAUGCCGCGUGACUGAUGAAGGUCUUCGGGUUGUAAAGGUCUGUUGUAAGGGAAGAAAUGGUAAAACAGGAAAUGGUUUUAUCUAUGACGGUACCUUACCAGAAAGCCACGGCUAACUAUGUGCCAGCAGCCGCGGUAAUACAUAGGUGGCAAGCGUUAU
Molecule: ribosomal RNA, 433 nt
Filed under: uncultured Spiroplasma sp.
Lineage: Bacteria; Bacillati; Mycoplasmatota; Mollicutes; Entomoplasmatales; Spiroplasmataceae
Description: bacterial SSU rRNA
Rfam family: Bacterial small subunit ribosomal RNA
Source: RNAcentral